CUGAAGUUAGGAUUCUCGAAAACGACACCUAAGUUUUCUGGAAAGGAAUGCCACAGAGGGUGAUAGCCCCGUACGGUGUUGACUCGAUACAGAGUCCUAACAUGGAGUCGAGUUGUUUGGGAAUGCAGCUCAAAUGGGUGGUAUGCUCCAUCUAAGGCUAAAUAUUUGCGAGAGACCGAUAGCGAACAAGUACUGUGAAGGAAAGAUGAAAAGAACUUUGAAAAGAGAGUGAAAUAGUACGUGAAAUUGUUGAAAUGGAAGGGUAGGCCGCUAACCAUGUAGGACCGUGUUUGGGGGGAAGAUAAAUGC
This 309-nucleotide ribosomal RNA is filed under the name uncultured Wickerhamiella. RNAcentral's name for it is "eukaryotic LSU rRNA". It matches the Rfam family "Eukaryotic large subunit ribosomal RNA", at positions 150 to 467 of the family's 3401-position model. The record is from RNAcentral. Lineage: Eukaryota; Fungi; Ascomycota; Dipodascomycetes; Dipodascales; Trichomonascaceae.